Molecule: non-coding RNA, 2927 nt
Organism: Odocoileus virginianus texanus
Lineage: Eukaryota; Metazoa; Chordata; Mammalia; Artiodactyla; Cervidae
Source: RefSeq, a predicted model, not a curated record
UUCCGUCUGAGUGAAAGAAGUCAAUCUUUCCUGCCAUGCCCUCUGUGGGGCCCUGCAGCCCUCCCCACCAUGAAGCCUCCCCAGAGCACACCUGGGACGCAGGAGCAAAGACCCAAUAUGCCUUCACCGACCGAGCCACAUGGCUGGACUCUCAGCUGAGUGAUGGGCAUAAAAGCAGGUAACUGGUGAAUUCAUGAGCAGUCACUGGGUGCCCUGGACCCGGCACUGAGCUGUUAGAUAUGCCAAUACCUCAUGUUUACCCAGGACUUUGUGCUUCUCAAGGUGGUUUCAUACAAAUUAAAUCAUGGGGGCUUCUCUGCAGCCCUGUGAGGGCUACAUGAUGGGGUGAAAGAGCUCGGGCCUUGGGGUGGGAACAGCUGGGCCUGGAUCCCACCUCUCCUUAUAAGCAGCAUUGUCUCGUUAAUGUUACCUCUCUUCUCUGAGCCUUACUUUUCUUCAGCUGUAAAAUGGGAUCCUGGUCUCCACAAGGAUCCAGAGAACCUGUGUGGAGUACUGUUGGAGUGCCAGCACGCAGCACGUUCUGCUACAAGCUAAGGUGUUGCUGUUGUGAGAGUGUGUUGAGAGACAGGUCCCAUUCGAUACAGGAAGAAACAGGUAAAUGGUCCCCACAUUGUUUCACUGAAUGUUCACCACCAACUCUCAGCUGAGGAUGAGCAAAGUCAAGCAGCUUGGCCUAGGUCAGUGAGUACAGAAGACGCCAGCUGGAGCCAGCUCUGAGUCACUUGUGUGGGGUAGGGCAGGGGCGGGUAGGAUCACCUAAAGCUUCAGAGGAGGGAUGUUACACUGACCUCACGAUGCCUUCCUUCCUCACAGUCACUGCCAUCUCAGACCCUAUGCCCUAAGGUACCUGCAGGGCUAGGGAGGGGUCCUAUCAUGGAUAUCCCACAUCUGUUCAGGUUUUGAUGAAGCAAAUUGCUAUGUGGAAAGGCCUAUGUGACAAGCACACAAAGGUGGUCUUGUCCAACAGCCAGCAAGGAACUAAAGCUUGCAGUCCAAGACCCUAGAGGAACUGAAAUUCUGCCAAUAGCUACAAUCUUAGAAGCAGAUCCUUUCCCAAACAAGCCUUCAGGACUUGGACCUUCUUGGACAGAAAUGCCACUUUGUCCUGAAAAGCUCGAUGGGUGAAUUCUCCAUCCUGAUGAUGCAGAGUCAGUGUCCUCAGAACAUCUGAUGCAGCUGGACCAUCUGGGCUGGCCCCCAAAGUCCAUGUCAGUGGCUUUAUGGUCACAGGAAAUGAUGACUGUGGGGUGAAUUCCUACAAGAUAGCAUUUCGGGGGGUCUCCCCUAUGGUAGAAAGCAAGCUGGCUCCUGCCCGUUGGAUGAAAAGGGUGCAUGUUGACAUCACUCAAGCUCUGGCUGUCCUGUGAUCCCACUGUCUCAGCACUGUGCUCUAGGAGGGAGAUGAGGCCUUCCAGGGGAAGUGUUAUGUCUUCCGAGAUCCCAGAGCAGAUUCAGGGCAAAGGAUUGUGAAGCCUCACGAUCACAGUCUCCCGUCCCUUUUCAGAGACCUUCCUCCAAACCCACUGCUGGCACCACUGGGCCAUAAACUCAAGCAGAGAGGAAACUUGGCAUUUCCGGAACAAUCUUCUUCAUGUUCCUCAGCAAACCUGCAGAAGAUGACAGCCUGGUCACCACAUCACUAGAAGCAAGUGUGAAGGAUUUUAGAAAAACAGCCUCUGCUCCAGCCCCAGUGGAAACAGCCGUCUCUGAUCCGAGGUGGCCAGAGAACCCAGAAAAUAUAGCCUUGCCAGGCCCUCAGCCAGUGAAGCCCUUCUAGCACUGUGGUUCCUAUAAGAAGCUCCCUGGCAGCCACUCACAGGGCAGUUUGGUCCUCCUCUGUAGGAUGGAGAAGCCUAGAAGGCACUUCAGAGGAUGGGAUCAGCCAACCACUUUCUCCCAGCCCUUCCCAAGAGGUGAAGAGCAAUCCUGGAGGAUGCCAGCAAAUGAACAAAUGCCUGUCCUGACAAGAGUCUUUUCUGGUGAAACACUGCGCUUCCUAUGGAAUAAAGGGCAGGCGUGGCUGCUGAGACCCAGCAGUCCUUGGAGAGCAGGUCAUCUCUCUCCCUUCGUCACACAGCUCUCUCACCUUGCCAAGUCCUCUUUUCCUGUGUCCCAAGCUGAGAGCUGUCUGGCUGAUUCUGCAGAAUCCUUGCUGGUCCUGCAGACACCCCAGCUUCUGCAUCAAGGCCUUGGCUAAGUGCUGGGCUCAUCUCCAGUGAGGCAGGUAUCACCUUUGCAGGUCACUGCAUCUCUGGGUGGUGGAGUGUUGUUACCACCUACUCUCUCUGUGGUCUUCAAGUGACUCCCUCUGAGGCAGAGCCAUAGCUUGUCCCUUGGAUGGCCUUGGCCUCACCCUUUCCAGAGCCAGGACAGACAGCUUGCCCUUGAAUGUGACUGCUGAGGGUGUCUCCUCAUGGAAUCAUGGGCAUCUUACGGAAAGAGACCCAAUAUACAGUUCCUGGAGUCCAGAGGGGCUGGCCACAGAGCCAGUGGAGGGCUGGGCCAGAGUGACGCUGACCACGGCCCCCACCAGGCUCUUCUAGCCACCGCUGCCCCUCACUGGGAUUCUCACCCUCGCCUACCACAGAGGUUCUGGGACACCCGGGAGGCGACCUGUGCCAGCUUCACGGCCCGUGUCAAGUUUACAGUUGCCUUCAGAUGCCUCGAGACUGGGAAGGUCUCAGACAGAGACUGAAUCCAGCCGUCCCCUAGGUCUGGUCCCAUCAGGGAAAGAGCACAGUGGCUGCUGGCCUCUCUGCUGCGUUCCCUGGGAGCUGCCAUUCAAGCUUCCUGUGACUAACACGUUCCUUCUGUAGAGCUCACUGGUUUUCCUGGCUCCCUCUCCAAGUCUGGCCAGAGCAGAGCUGGCGUCUAGAAGUUUAUUUUUUUUUUUAAAUGUUGAGUGU